This 305-nucleotide ribosomal RNA is filed under the name uncultured bacterium. RNAcentral describes it as "bacterial SSU rRNA". It matches the Rfam family "Bacterial small subunit ribosomal RNA", at positions 334 to 637 of the family's 1533-position model. The record is from RNAcentral.
AUGUUCCACGGGGCGCAGCAGUGAGGAAUAUUGGUCAAUGGCCGGAAGGCUGAACCAGCCAAGCCGCGUGAAGGACGAAGGUGCCAAGCAUUGUAAACUUCUUUUGUCAAGGGACAAAAUCAGGCUCGAGAGCCUGACCGAGGGUACUUGAAGAAACAGCAUCGGCUAACUCCGUGCCAGCAGCCGCGGUAAUACGGAGGAUGCGAGCGUUAUCCGGAUUUAUUGGGUUUAAAGGGUGCGUAGGCGGACUGUUAAGUCAGCGGUAAAAGCUCGGGGCUCAACCCCGGCGAGCCGUCGAAACUGGC